CCUACGGGAGGCUGCAGUGGGGAAUAUUGGACAAUGGGGGCAACCCUGAUCCAGCGACGCCGCGUGUGUGAAGAAGGCCUGCGGGUUGUAAAGCACUUUUAGUGGGGAGGAAGAUCCCGGGGCCAAUACCCCCGGGUGAUGACUUAACCCACAGAAAAAGCACCGGCUAACUCUGUGCCAGCAGCCGCGGUAAUACAGAGGGUGCGAGCGUUAAUCGGAAUUACUGGGCGUAAAGCGUGCGUAGGCGGUUUCGUAAGUCGGAUGUGAAAGCCCCGGGCUCAACCUGGGAAUGGCAUUCGAGACUGCGCAGCUCGAGUGCGGAAGAGGGAAGUGGAAUUUCCGGUGUAGCGGUGAAAUGCGUAGAUAUCGGAAGGAACACCAGUGGCGAAAGCGACUUCCUGGUCCAGCACUGACGCUCAGGCACGAAAGCGUGGGGAGCA
RNAcentral lists this ribosomal RNA (440 nucleotides) under uncultured bacterium. RNAcentral describes it as "bacterial SSU rRNA". It matches the Rfam family "Bacterial small subunit ribosomal RNA", at positions 338 to 770 of the family's 1533-position model. The record is from RNAcentral.